CAGCAGCCGCGGGAAUACGUAGGUGGCAAGCGUUGUUCGGAAUUAUUGGGCGUAAAGGGCUCGCAGGCGGUUUCUUAAGUCUGAUGUGAAAGCCCCCGGCUCAACCGGGGAGGGUCAUUGGAAACUGGGAAACUUGAGUGCAGAAGAGGAGAGUGGAAUUCCACGUGUAGCGGUGAAAUGCGUAGAGAUGUGGAGGAACACCAGUGGCGAAGGCGACUCUCUGGUCUGUAACUGACGCUGAGGAGCGAAAGCGUGGGGAGCGAACAGGAUUAGAUACCCCCGUAGUCCCUGUCUCUUAUAC
RNAcentral lists this ribosomal RNA (301 nucleotides) under uncultured bacterium. RNAcentral describes it as "partial 16S ribosomal RNA". It matches the Rfam family "Bacterial small subunit ribosomal RNA", at positions 509 to 807 of the family's 1533-position model. The record is from RNAcentral.